This is a non-coding RNA of Pseudonaja textilis, 1529 nucleotides long. NCBI's taxonomy places the organism in Eukaryota, Metazoa, Chordata, Lepidosauria, Squamata, Elapidae. The record is from RefSeq and is a predicted model, not a curated record.
AUUCUAACUACUGUGCCACCAUGGCUGAUCCAUUUCUUUUCUCAGUUAAAUUGUUUUGCAAAACUUUUUUUCCCUAUGCAUCAGUUUUCACCAAAAGGAAUCUAUUUAUAAUCUGUAUAGGAUCUCACCAACUUGCAAAGGAAAAGUUACAUUAAGAGUGGACUGCUUCCUAUUUAAUGGCUUCACACAGGUAAAUGAUACAGUUUGUAUACAUAACAAUGAGAAAGACAGAAGGACAAAAAUUAUUAAACCAAAGAAGGCAAGUAAAAAGCAUUUGGACAAACACACCAAAAGCCACCCAAGACAAACUUUCUGUUAUUGUAGAAAUAGAAUAUACAUUUCUAUACAACAAUCUGUAUCCAAACUUUAUAACACUGGAAUAUCCCCGAAUCUUAAACUUGAACAAGGGAAGCAGUUUUGCUCACAGGCUUAAUGCAAUGGUGGGUUGUGUUGAAGAAAGCUGAGUGAAAUCUACAAUACUAAAAUACAACAUAGCAAUAUAAUACACUCAAAUAUCAUACCAGUUUUUAAUGCUGCCAGCGCAUUGAUUAAAAGAAUAUAAGAAUCCCCUUCCCUUUUACAAACCACGUCCUUCAUUAAAAAUGCCUUCAUAAUUUUAAGAUCAGUGUACCAACAAAAGUAAUUCAAUGCAGAACCCUUCAUUUUUCAUUAAUCGUAUCCAUUACAAACCACAGCAGCAUAAUAGAACAAAACCAGAGCCAUAUACAUAUACAUAGAUAUGUCUACAGCAACAUAUGCAUGAGUGUGUAUGUAUUUCACUGCAUAAAAAAUCUGCAGCUGAGAGUUUCAGUAGAUCUUUGUAUUUUUUUAGUCAAAAGACAUAGAGCAAAUAUGAUUAUUCUAACUACAGGAGUUCUUCAGGCUUUUGAAAACUAUUUGCACAAGAAUAUAAACCACAGAACAAACAGGAAUGAUAAUGAACCUGAGUAAACUCUAUUCAAAUAGAGGCAAUCAUUCAUUCAAUAAAUCAAUAUUGCACUUUUAAAUAAAUCUUCAUCACAGAAAAGAACACAAAAUACAACCAGGACAGGAGGGGUACCCACCCCACCAAUGCCACACACCGUUACAACAAUUGUAUGCAAACCACAGUUAAAGCUACAUAGCUUUUCUCCUCCCCUAAGGAUGCCACUUGUGGUCAGUCCUCAAGAUCAACUGAAGUGACAGCUUUCAAGUGAUAAUCUUAUAACUUAGAUAAGCCGGUUCGCUCUGAAAUGGGCCCUGAAAAUGACCAAUGUUGUUUUAUUUUGCAUGUGGUGAACCAAUCAUUACUAUUCUUCUAUAAGUAUCUGGAAACCUGAGAACGCAUGGAGGGUGUAUGUGCGAUCGACUUAAUGGGAAAUCACACAUGAGUUUAUUGCUACAGUAUUCAGUUUGCAACACAAUAACAAGUUUUAAAGUAGCUAGUUAGUUAGGUUUAAUUUGGGCUCUGAUUCAGAAAAAGGCAAAUCCAAUCCUUGGUUUGACUUUGAGAUCUGAAUAUGAAACUUAUUUAUGCAAAUUUCAAUGUC